GAUGAACGCUGGCGGCGUGCCUAAUACAUGCAAGUCGAGCGGACAGACGAGGAGCUUGCUCCUCUGACGUUAGCGGCGGACGGGUGAGUAACACGUGGAUAACCUACCUAUAAGACUGGGAUAACUUCGGGAAACCGGAGCUAAUACCGGAUAAUAUAUUGAACCGCAUGGUUCAAUAGUGAAAGACGGUUUUGCUGUCACUUAUAGAUGGAUCCGCGCCGCAUUAGCUAGUUGGUAAGGUAACGGCUUACAAAGGCAACGAUGCGUAGCCGACCUGAGAGGGUGAUCGGCCACACUGGAACUGAGACACGGUCCAGACUCCUACGGGAGGCAGCAGUAGGGAAUCUUCCGCAAUGGGCGAAAGCCUGACGGAGCAACGCCGCGUGAGUGAUGAAGGUCUUCGGAUCGUAAAACUCUGUUAUUAGGGAAGAACAAAUGUGUAAGUAACUAUGCACGUCUUGACGGUACCUAAUCAGAAAGCCACGGCUAACUACGUG
This 497-nucleotide ribosomal RNA is filed under the name uncultured bacterium. RNAcentral describes it as "partial 16S ribosomal RNA". It matches the Rfam family "Bacterial small subunit ribosomal RNA", at positions 28 to 507 of the family's 1533-position model. The record is from RNAcentral.